CCUACGGGAGGCAGCAGUGAGGAAUAUUGGUCAAUGGACGAGAGUCUGAACCAGCCAAGUAGCGUGAAGGAUGACUGCCCUAUGGGUUGUAAACUUCUUUUAUAUGGGAAUAAAACGUUCCACGUGUGGGAUUUUGUAUGUACCAUAUGAAUAAGGAUCGGCUAACUCCGUGCCAGCAGCCGCGGUAAUACGGAGGAUCCGAGCGUUAUCCGGAUUUAUUGGGUUUAAAGGGAGCGUAGGUGGAUUGUUAAGUCAGUUGUGAAAGUUUGCGGCUCAACCGUAAAAUUGCAGUUGAAACUGGCAGUCUUGAGUACAGUAGAGGUGAGCGGAAUUCGGGGUGUAGCGGUGAAAUGCUUAGAUAUCACGAAGAACUCCGAUGGCGAAGGCAGUUCACUGGACUGCAACUGACACUGAGGCUCGAAAGUGUGGGUAUCAAACAGGAUUAGAUACCCGGGUAGUC
RNAcentral lists this ribosomal RNA (460 nucleotides) under uncultured bacterium. Its description in RNAcentral is "partial 16S ribosomal RNA". It matches the Rfam family "Bacterial small subunit ribosomal RNA", at positions 338 to 795 of the family's 1533-position model. The record is from RNAcentral.